AGUUUGACUGGCAGUUACACUAGAGUCAUGUGAAAUGCCGGGAGGGCACUUCCUCAACACAAAGUGGGAUGGGGACUAUUACCAGAGGGAGGGGUAUUGGGUGCACAUGCACCAACCCAGAAUACCAGCUCACAGCUCUUAAGAAGAUUCCAGAUACUGUACCUAAGGUCUUGGUAUAUGGUGGGAGGACUUGACUCUGCUCAGGAAGCAUUUUGGAAGGAGAGAUGUUUCUCUACAACCACAGCUGUGGAAGAUGUGUAUUUUGCUGAAGGAGUGAAACAACCUAAUCAGUCAGAUUGGUCUAUUAGUUGUGCUUCUCAACCCUGGCUGCACACUGGAAUCACCUGGGGAGUAUUGACAGCCUAUCAACACCCAGAACCAUCCCGGAGAGCUCGGGCACGACUAAUUCCCACCAGCAACCAAAUAUUGUCUGUGCACAGCCAGGCUGGAAAUUAUGGAGACAUCCUUUUACAUCCACUCUGGAAGUCCGGUGGCCUUGUCCUUCUGGAAGACGGCUAAAGAUAUGUAGAACUCUGGGGUUUCAGAAUAUAUUCUUUUCAAUUACCUCAUUUGAUCCUUAUGAUAACUCAGAUCUAAGGCAGAUGGGGGUAGGUAGUAAUCUCCUACUCCUGAUUUUAGAGAUGAAGGAACUGACCACUCAGAAGAUUCAUUGACUAGUGAUUCCACCGAAGUUGCAUAGCUUAGAAAAGGCAGAUCCAGGACUCGGGCUUCUUCCUCUGGCUCCAGGCUCAUGGCUCUGUCCACUUGCCUCUUGGAAAGGAGAUGGAAACAUUUGGAUUUUCCAAGCUCUCUUUCAGUUACAGUUUCAAGGAAACCUAAAGGUGAGCCCUAAGCCCUUCACAAGAAAGCUUAUUUGAAAAACAUCCUUCAGGGCCUCCAGCCAUGUUCCGGGAGGUCUUUUAAGUCAUUUCUGUCCCUCCUGCUUUGAUUUAGCUGCCAGUUGUGAGAGUUGUGCCUUCUGGGGGUUAGAGGAGUGAGGGCUGCGAUUACAGCUCCACUGUCCCUGCCAACAUCCUCGGGGGGGGCUCAUCUCCUGAAGGAACCUUCCCAAAUGAGCUGUCAACUCUGCUACCACAGGGGCCUGCCUUAGGUUUCUUCCCUCCAUAUAGCAUCAAGCAGAGUGCUACACCCAGUAAAUACCUGAGGGUAAGAUGGCGACACAGAAUGGAGUUUCUCCUCCUUCUGACUUCCCCAUCACUGCUGCCUCUUGACUACCUUUUAAGCUUAUUUUUUCAUUAAAAAACU
This 1266-nucleotide long non-coding RNA is filed under the name Equus caballus (horse). RNAcentral's name for it is "lncRNA (ENSECAG00000044279.1)". Lineage: Eukaryota; Metazoa; Chordata; Mammalia; Perissodactyla; Equidae. The record is from RNAcentral.